GGAUUAGAUACCCUAUUAUUCUAAAUGUAAAUUUUAAAGUUCAGGGUAGUGUUGGUUAUGAUCCUUAAACCUAAAGAAUUUGGCGGUGUUUUAGUCUCUUUAGAGGAACUUGUCCCGUAAUUGAUAAUCCUCGUUGGACCUUACUUGAUUUAUGUUUAUAUAUCUCCGUUUUUGAAUAUUUUUAUAGGGUUGUUGGAAUUUUCUUUAUUUUUUAUUGAAUAUAAUUUCAGGUCAAGGUUUAAUUUAUAAUCAAGUGGAGAUGAGUUACAAUAAUAUUUAUUAUAACGGAUUAUAGGAUUGAAAAAUUUUCAUGUAAGGUGGAUUUAAUAGUAAUUUGAUUUAGAAUAUUUAGGUGAUUUAAGGGCUCUAAGAUAUGUACAUAUCGCCCGUCGCUCUCGUUAUUUAAGAUGAGAUAAGUC
RNAcentral lists this ribosomal RNA (419 nucleotides) under Holocompsa sp. 1 DJGI-2006. RNAcentral's name for it is "partial 12S ribosomal RNA". The record is from RNAcentral. Lineage: Eukaryota; Metazoa; Arthropoda; Insecta; Blattodea; Corydiidae.